Molecule: ribosomal RNA, 209 nt
Filed under: uncultured bacterium
Lineage: Bacteria
Description: partial 16S ribosomal RNA
Rfam family: Bacterial small subunit ribosomal RNA
Source: RNAcentral
UACGUAGGGGGCUAGCGUUGUCCGGAUUUAUUGGGCGUAAAGAGCUCGUAGGCGGUCUGUCGCGUCUGCUGUGAAAACUCAGGGCUUAACCCUGAGCUUGCAGUGGGUACGGGCAGACUAGAGUGCGGUAGGGGAGACUGGAAUUCCUGGUGUAGCGGUGAAAUGCGCAGAUAUCAGGAGGAACACCGGUGGCGAAGGCGGGUCUCUGG